Molecule: ribosomal RNA, 526 nt
Filed under: Pediococcus pentosaceus
Lineage: Bacteria; Bacillati; Bacillota; Bacilli; Lactobacillales; Lactobacillaceae
Description: bacterial SSU rRNA
Rfam family: Bacterial small subunit ribosomal RNA
Source: RNAcentral
CGAACUUCCGUUAAUUGAUUAUGACGUACUUGUACUGAUUGAGAUUUUAACACGAAGUGAGUGGCGAACGGGUGAGUAACACGUGGGUAACCUGCCCAGAAGUAGGGGAUAACACCUGGAAACAGAUGCUAAUACCGUAUAACAGAGAAAACCGCAUGGUUUUCUUUUAAAAGAUGGCUCUGCUAUCACUUCUGGAUGGACCCGCGGCGUAUUAGCUAGUUGGUGAGGUAAAGGCUCACCAAGGCAGUGAUACGUAGCCGACCUGAGAGGGUAAUCGGCCACAUUGGGACUGAGACACGGCCCAGACUCCUACGGGAGGCAGCAGUAGGGAAUCUUCCACAAUGGACGAAAGUCUGAUGGAGCAACGCCGCGUGAGUGAAGAAGGGUUUCGGCUCGUAAAGCUCUGUUGUUAAAGAAGAACGUGGGUAAGAGUAACUGUUUACCCAGUGACGGUAUUUAACCAGAAAGCCACGGCUAACUACGUGCCAGCAGCCGCGGUAAUACGUAGGUGGCAAGCGUUAUCCGG